RNAcentral lists this transfer RNA (76 nucleotides) under Candidatus Arsenophonus melophagi. Its description in RNAcentral is "tRNA-Ala". It matches the Rfam family "tRNA". From Rfam's summary of the family: Transfer RNA (tRNA) molecules are approximately 80 nucleotides in length. Lineage: Bacteria; Pseudomonadati; Pseudomonadota; Gammaproteobacteria; Enterobacterales; Morganellaceae. The record is from RNAcentral.
GGGGCUAUAGCUCAGCUGGGAGAGCGCCUGUUUUGCACGCAGGAGGUCGGCGGUUCGAUCCCGCUUAGCUCCACCA